This 73-nucleotide transfer RNA is filed under the name Ictidomys tridecemlineatus (thirteen-lined ground squirrel). Its description in RNAcentral is "Spermophilus tridecemlineatus (thirteen-lined ground squirrel) tRNA". It matches the Rfam family "tRNA". Rfam says of the family: Transfer RNA (tRNA) molecules are approximately 80 nucleotides in length. Their secondary structure includes four short double-helical elements and three loops (D, anti-codon, and T loops). The record is from Rfam by way of RNAcentral. Lineage: Eukaryota; Metazoa; Chordata; Mammalia; Rodentia; Sciuridae.
GGGGAUAUAGCUCAGUUGGUAGAGUGCCUGCUUUGCAUGCACAAGGUCCUGGGUUCCAUCCCCAGCACCACUA